This 22025-nucleotide long non-coding RNA is filed under the name Panax ginseng (ginseng). Its description in RNAcentral is "long non-coding RNA (PGIN_LNC006999)". The record is from RNAcentral. Lineage: Eukaryota; Viridiplantae; Streptophyta; Magnoliopsida; Apiales; Araliaceae.
AUGAUUUUUUUAUUUUUUAUUUAUUUUCUCUCACAUUUUUGGAGCUACAGGCUUACCGACCAUGGUAGUUAAUUCGAAUUGAAGUCACGGUUUUGUUUAAAACCCGCUACCAGCGUCCGGAAAAUCAGUUCAUGGCGAAACCGAAAUAUGUUAUUGGCAGCGGUGAAUCGGUACUUCAUCUCUCCUCUUUCCUACCUGCUUUGUGUUUAUACUUUGUUAAUUAUGCUUAAUAGUUUUGUUAAUUGUUUACCUCUUUCUUUGAUUAAUUUGUUGAAACAGAUUGUUUACCUAACUCUUUAUUUUUGUGAUUACUUUUUUUGUUAAUUGUUUACCUUGCUCUUUCUUUCUGUGAUUCAAUGUGGCUGCUGCUUAAUUUGUCUCAAAAUAAGCUUAUUGGUUCUGUGCCCUAAGCGAUUUAAGGGGCUGUUUGAUAAAAAUUGAAUGAAUCUGAAUUUGAAUCUGAAUUAGCUGAAUCUGAAUCUGAAUGAAAAAUAUUGUAUGAUAAUUGAUAUGUCUAAAAUAUCUGAAUAACAGUAUUUUACUAUUUUACCCCUCUAAACUAUGCUGAACAAGUAUAUAAUUUUGUCUAGGCGUAUUUAAAAAAAUUAAUUAAAUACAAUAUUCAUUGUACAACAAAUAAAAAUAAAUAAUUUAAAUAAAUUAUCAAACAAAGUAUUGAAUAAUUCAAACAAUUAUACUACUUAAUAAACACGACGGUGGAUUGAAUAAAAUAAAGGGAACUGAUUUUCACAUAAAUAAAAAAUAUAAACAUCAAAAAGUUCAAAAAAAAAAAAGGGUUGCAAAAUCCAUUUUGAGCCUGUAGGUAUAUACUUAAAAUUUAGAGACCACAAAAUUCUGACUUUACACCCAAAUAGGACAGCAGCACACAUCAAGAAUUCCUUGUUCGUUUUUUCUUUCCUCCACAACCAGCUGAUUCUUCUCCUUCUUCUGUAAUUUUGGAUCACUGAUCGUAACGAACUCGAUUGGAUCAAUUUGAAUUAGGGUUUCAUCAUGGACGAAGUGAUGACUGUGUCCGAUGCGACGUCGUCCGGCUCCCAAUUCACAUCACCGCCGUCAUCUCCAGCUUCUCUCCUCCCGGUGAACAUCCCUCUUCUCUCUGCCUUCCUCGCCUGCGCAAUCGCUCAAUUCCUCAAGCUCUUCACCACCUGGAGCAGCGACGAGAGCCAGAUGAAGAGCAACGCUAGGGAUGGAGAAGCGGCAGGCUAUUUGGGUAAAACUCGUGAUUCGGUCAAUUCAGCCCAAUUUUUUAAAAAGAAUCGGUCAGAUGUAUUCAGACCAAUUCAGAUCUCAAAUUUUGUAAACAAACAGUCUGAAUGGCUGAAUCGUUCAGAUUCAGAGCCAUUCAGACCGUUUCAGAGCAAAACAAACAGGGCCUAAGCCCUUUUUAGUAUUCUACUUAACUUGGUUGGUUACUAACUUGUGUUCAAUAUGAUUGAUAUCUGUUUCUUGUUUCCUUCACUUUUUCCCCUGCAAUCCAUAUAUUUUUGCAGUGAGUUUCCCCCAAUACAACUGGUUUAUAGUGUCAAAAGCUUUUAUUACUUUAUUAAUUUACCCUGCUAACUCAGUAGGGAGUGUGUUUAUGCUUCUAUGAGUGUCCAGAAUUUUGUAAAUAUGUUUCCAAAUUAUGGAGAAUGCUGAAAAAAUUGAAACUGAGUGAUGGGCAUGUAUUUGAGUGUAUCCUUGUUGAUCUUGGAGUCCGAUUGUGCACUGGCAGACCCAGGAUUUCAUGCAAGUGGGGUCACAAAUAUUAUAAAAAUAAAAUAAAAGUGGAAUAAAUAAAUCUCAAACUCAACACCAAAUUAAUUAACGUGAAAAAUACAUAAAACAACUUAAAUUCAAUAUAGUGAACAUAUACAAAAUCAUUGGCUGAGCCUUUAUCCCUUGCGGAACUUUUCAAUCGUUUAAAGUCAUAAAAUUGAAAUAUUGAGCUGAAUUUAUAAAAAGAGCAUUUUACAAGUUAGAAUAGAAUCAAAAGAAAUGUUCAGUUGUAAAAUUGAAAUGGUGAAAUAAACUGAAUAAAAAGAGGAAUGUAUAAAGUUAAGGCUGAGGAUAUAAAUUCAACAAUAAAUAAGUGCAAAUUAGAUUUCCUGGUGACUAGAUCUUAAAAAAAAUAGUUUAAAACUCACCAUUGACAGCUUGACAUGAAUCAAUUACAAAAGAAGUAAAAAGGUAAAUAGAAAACAAAGAGGGGCUAAAUUACCAUCAUAGCAAACUGCUCUUGCUGGGUAUUUUGUAUUUAACAAGUGAAAUUACAGUUUUAGUAAAAAAGGGAGCGACUUCAAGUGAUCCCACUGGACCCAGUGUGGGCUUGUCACAAUGUUCUAGAAGGCGGGGCCCUAGGCGAGAUUUUUUAUUAUAAGUCAAUUUUAAUAUUUUAUCUUACAUCUAUCCAAUCAAAACAAUAAUAUAAAGCAAAACAAUUUAUAAUAAAGACAUUUGCUUAAAGUUCAAACACAUAUCUUUAACGUAUUAGUUUUAUUCAUAAACAAGAUUGCUAUUAAAUAAUAAAAUUUAAAAUUUCAAAAAUUCAAUUCAAUAUUAAAACUUAAGAAACUAAACAUAAAUUUAAGAAUUAUAUUGAAUUAAACUAAAUAUUACAAAUAUAUCAUCAUUUAUAUAAUUUGAAGUUGGUACAAGUUCAAAAAAUUAAAACUAUAAUAAAAUUAUCCAUUUUGACUUGAUUUUGUUGUGAUUUGAUAUGCUACAACGUACAUUAUGAAUAUGGUAAAUCAUUAAAAAAAAAAUAUUAAGAUCUGGUUUGGGUAGUUAUUAAAAUUAUAAAAAAAAACUCUCCGGCCUUGCCUUGCCCUGCCCGCUUAGGCCCCACCUUUUUCGCCUAGAUCCUUCCUAAUUUCCUGAAGGGAUUUUUUGGCCUAGGCGAGGCGCCAGGGAGACCUAGCGCCUAGGUGGGGCCUAAGCAACCGCCUUUUAGAACACCGGUUUGUCACUGCGAUAGGGGAUAUGUUAUCACUUGAGUUGUAUUCUAUCAUGAACGCCUACAUGAGCAGAGCGCGCCGGCUGCUAAAGUUUAGAUCACAUAAUUUUCGACCAUAUAGUCUAAAUUAAUUUUAUGUAAAAACUGGAGAAGUCUUUUGGCUAUUUCCGUUCACAAUAGUUAUGUUUGGUUAACCAUUUCUUUUGAUAAUUGUGAAAAAGACUUAACCGAGGGGGAUUUGUUUUAUAGUGCUCUGGAGCUAGUAAGAUAUAAACAAUUAUGAACUUGGUGUACUUUUUUGGUAUAUUUUGUAUGCUUUGUUUGUAGAUUUUAUUCCAUGUACAAAUUGGUUCCUUUACUGCCAUUACCUGUUGAAAAACAUAGAAAAGUAGAGAAAAUUUUAUAUUUUGCAAAUUAUACAAGUCAAAUUAUAUUUGUUAAUUAUAAUAGAGUACUUUUUUAAGAACAAAGAAAGUAUUCCCACAAAAAUGAACUCGGUUAUGUUCAACCAUUCGGGCAUCCCUUCUUGUCUUUUGGUAAUUGAUAUAUUUGUUAAGUCGUCACCUAAGCGACGCUUAGGCGUCCACUCGCUGGCGAAGGCCAAGUCGUCUAGUCGACUUGUUGGAGGGAUAAAGUCGAGCGCUCAGAUGGAUAUGUCGUCGCCUUGGACGACUCAGAGACUCCUUGGACGACUUGGACUCUAAGCGGUAACUUGGUGAUGCCGGGUAUGGUUCGACCCAAAGUCCUAUUGGGUUAAAAAAAAUCUUCGAUCGUUCGAUCAAGCCAAUCACUAAACAUUUGCGAAUCACGAUUAAGAUAGAGAGAAGGUGAGGGAGUAGGGGUGUAAGUCGAGUCAAGUAGUUCGGUACUCGACUCGAGAUUGGCUCGAAAAUAUGAUCCAAACCUCGAAUUCGAAGUUGUUCCGAAUCGAAUCUGAUCCAUACUCGUUUUCUGUUUAAUGAUACACGAGUCGAAUUCGAGCAUACCAGUGUUCGCUCAGAUUAGGGUUCGAGUAUUUUAUUUUUUCUCGAACCAGACUCGAUACCUGCUCGAUGGAUCAUAUUCGAAUAUUGGUCUGAUCCAUGCUAUUAAGCUAAAUAUGUGAUAUUUGUAUCAAUCUUUAUAAUUUAUAAAGUGUAGUAUGAAAUUGUGUAAACUUGUACUUGAAUAAAUCAAUGAAUUGAAUAUCAAUUUUUAUUACAUUCUUUAUAAUUUCAAUACAUAAAUAAAAGUGAAAAAGUUUUAUAUAUAAAUAUUAGUUAAGUAACCAAUUUAGUAUGCGAUGGUUCACAUUUAAGUGAAAUGGUUCAUAUUCGAAACUCAAUUUGAAGGCUCAUGAGUAGCUCGCUUUAUAAACGAGUCGAGUACUUACGAGCCGAGUAGGUCCGAGUAAUGAUCCGAAUUGAAUCUAGCGCAAAAAUAUAAAUCCCUUAUCAAAUCCGAGUCGAAUUCGAGCUCAAUUUUUUCGAGUCGAGCCGAAUCUGAGCAUGAAGGUGUUCGCUGAGAUUCGACUUGUUUACACCCCUAUGAGGGAGAGAAGUACCGAUUUCGGCAACUCACUUCGACGAUUCCGACGACCUCUAUCAACUCCCGGCGGCGACUUUACAGUUUACAGUACAAGUAUUCUUCUCUGCUUUUGAUCUUCUCUUCUUCUCUUCUUCUAAUCUUGGUUUUUUUCCAUCCCUCUUUUGGUUCUUCUGUUCUUCUAAUCUUCUUCUACUUUGACUUUGCUUUGCGUUGCACUCUGUUGUUCACUACUUCACUAUCUGUUUAUUACUUAUGUGUGCUAUAUUAUAUAUAGUACAUAUGUAUAAAUUAUAAUAGUGUAUACUUGAUAACUUAGUGUAUAAAUUAUAGGAGUGUAUAAAUUCUUUAUACUUUAUUUAUAUGUUCAUUAUUGUGUAAGUGUAUAAAUUAGUAAAUUACAUGUAUAGUAUAAUGUAUAAAUUCAUUUACUAAUUACCAUGUUUUGAGAAUUGAGAUUAAUGUAUACUGUAUAGUUGUAUACUUAAUGUGCUACAGUGGUACUUCACAACCAACUAUUGCUUAUGUAAUAUGAUGAUGCAUGCCUAGUGCUUAAUGUAAAAUUGUAAAUAGCCUGCCUAAUGUGCUCAAGCCUUAAUGCAAUAAGUAAUAACUAAUAAAACUUGUUUUCUUAAUUUAAAAAAAAAAUUGCAGCAUGUAACAUCUUAAUAAAAAAAAUUGUAAUGCACUGUUUUUUCCCCAAUGCCAUCUAUGUUUACAUGUUUUAUUAUUACAAAUUACAAUGUCUUGCUUGUUUGUAUAAUUGUAUUUUGUAUAUAGUUAAAUUGCUAAAAGUUCAGGAGCGAAGGGUUACGAUCCAAGCAAGGAUCCUAAAAAAAAGGCCAAGUCUAAGGAUCUAGGGUGGGAAUAUGGAUUUUUUCCAGAAUUGACCGAUAAAAAUCUCGUGCAAUGCACACUCCGUGGGAAAAAGGUUCGUGGAGGAAUCAAGAGAUUCAAGCAACAUCUGUGGGUAUGGGAUGUGGCUAAGUGUCCUUGAACUAUAACAGAAGUUGCAAACGAGAUGCAUCAAGCAAUAAUGAGUACAAAAAGAACAAACCAAUUCAAUUUCAGCAACAAAAGGAACAAGCCAAUUUAAUUUGAUGACAGUGACGAAGUAGAAGAAAUUUAGUCAUCUAAUAUUCUAAGCAAUACAUCCAAUCCUUACAAUGCUUUCUGUGGACAAGGAAAUCGUACCUUGCUAAGAUUAGGGUUUCGUGUUGGCUAAGGAGGAGAGAAAUCCACGAAGAGCACGGAAUUGUUUGAUUGAUUGAAGAGGGGAGAACGACAGGUGAGCGAUUACUCCAAUGACGCGUGGCAGAAUUCCUAGAAUCCGGAAACAGUGUUAGGGUUAUUGGGAUUCCAAGAGCCUUCUUGAGUCCUUCGAGUUGAGAGAAUGUCCAAACCCUUUUUAGUGCUUUUAGGUGGAAUAUCCGAGCCUUAAGUCACCAAAAGAGUCCAAGUCCUGCGUCUGAAGAGAGGUCCCUUCGUUCAUAGAAUGGAAGGGGUAUUUAUAGAGCUUCCUGGAAUUUAAGUAAUCACAUGUCAGGCACAUGUUUUCAGGGAAAUUCCAGAAAUACCCUUUAGUCAUUAGAAUAAUGCCCAUAUCGCCCUGUCCUUCUAGCCGCUAAUCCAAUCCCUUUUGUGUUUUUAAUGAGGUCGUGGAACCCUAAUUUGCACUUGGGCCCACAUUUGCCUCCUGCGCGAGUCGCGUUUCCAAAGAGACGAUCGUGCAAGAAUAUUUCGAGCUUUCGAACAAAUUUUUUUUUUAAAAAUCUUUUCAAAUCUUGCUCAAUCUUUGUUUCCUUAAUUUUUUGGAAACUAAAUCACAAUAAAUCAAAUUAAAUCUGAAAACUUCAUAUUAAAAAUUCAAAUCUUUAUAUAUAUAUAUAUAUAUAUAUGUUUAAUAUGAACUUAAUAUGUUUUUUUUUUCUUAAUGUUAUAUUGUUUAAUUUUUGUAGUUUACUUCUUGGAAAGUUUUUUUUUUUAAUUUUGAUGGACUAUUAUUUUUUUCUUCACGGAAACCUCCUGUUUGACUUUACAAGAUUAAGGAAUCAAGUAAUAUUUUAUACAUUAAUUUGUUAAUUUCUUAUAUUUACGUAUUUGCUCGACUUUUAUAAAAAGAACAAUUACAGAAAAAUAAAAAAAGUGGUUGUACCCGAACAAUAUUAGAUAGAAGACUUACCCUAUCUUUUAUAUAUUAUUACCAUAAAGAUCAAAGAAUUGAGGCCUUGCCGUCAUAUCAUUCUGAGAAAAAGAAGAAGGUGCUUCGGGUUUCGCGACUGGGCUAUGCGCCUACAUCGUAGUAAGUAUAAUAUAAACCAACAUAAAGGGUUAGAUUUAUUCUUAAGCAUGUGCAUGACUUUUGCCAUAAUCGUUUGUUUUUGGUUGAUUAAUUCUUUGAUUAUUGUUUGGUGGGUCAAUAUAUAUAUAUGUAUAUAUAUAUAUAUAUAUAUUAGUAAAAAUUUGAUUCCUACUUUCCUGCUUUAAGACUUUAGGGGUGUGUUUAUUGUUGUACUCUACGUUGACUAUUACUAUAAUUUAGUAAGACUCCCUACAUGUGGCCGAACCUAGAUAGGCCGAACCCUAGGGGCGACACUCCUUCGCUUUAAGAUUUUAUUUUUUUUGAUUGAUUUUAUUUUUUUCGUAUAGCUUCUUUACGUUUGAAUUCUUUUUGAUUAUUUCUUUUAUUAUUAUUUUCUAUUUCCAGGUAAUUUUAGUUUACCUUUUUCUGGCCAUCUCACCUUAACUGGAUUUUGGCUCGGAUAGGCAACACUGCAGCAAGGGAGCAUCAAAGAGACUUUCUUCAAUCCGAGCGAGAGGCAACAAGAUGAUUCCCCACUAUAGGGUCGAACCCUAUGGGGGACCCAAACCCUUGGGGAUCCAUUCCUUCUUUUCGUCUUCGCUUUUCAAUUUGCUUACUUGUAUGUUUUCUUUCAAAUUUAUCUCGACUUGCUUCCUCUAUUUCUCUUUUCUGUUUCAGGCAAUUGUAGUCUUUCUUUGUUCCUGAGCCCCAUCACCUUGAUCAUAUCUUGAUUUGUGGAGCAACAGGACCUCAAAGGAAUAAAGGGAACAGCCCCUAGGUGGCCGAACCCUAUAGGAUUUUUCUUUCUUUCAGGCACCUCCAAUUUAUCUUUUGUCUUCCGAGCCCUAUUACCUUGAUUAUAUCUCGAUUUUUUCCCUCGGAUAAUAAAGAAAGAUUUGACGUUCUUGUCAAGUAAAAAACAUGAAGGGAGAAAAAAAAAAAUGCUCUGCAUGCGGCGAAACCACCCCAGUUGACCAAACCCUUGGGGGACGAACCCUGGGGGGGACGAACCCUAGGGGGAAAUCAACGUUUAGAUGGAAUUAUGCUCUUUAGAGCCCUUUAUGCUGAAUUCUUCUUGCUUGCAUGCCCUUUUCGUUAGACAUUAUGCAGACUCGGAAACCGCCAAGGAGGCCCCCUUCCUCAGUGAUUGGGGUGAUUGGGGAAGGGCUCCCCCCUUUGGUCUUUCCAACGUCUUUUGGGAGCAAGGCUAGACUUAUGACCGUACAACUUUUUCUCCGUCAGAGAAGGAAGGCUUGUUUCUAUAUGCAGCGGCUUGUGGAGGUUGGGAUGACUUUCCCCAUUCCGAUCGCAUUCCCCGCAUAUGCAUAAAGAAGCAAGAAUACCCUUUCAGUCCCCUUCGCUUCCUGUCUGAUUCAUUUGAUCGCCUUCAAGAAUUGGCAGGAUUGGACCGACAAGAUCCUUGGAAACACAAAUUACGUGGAUAUACUCAAGAGUGCGGGCAUCUUUUGUUGUUUUCAACUAUGCAGAGACCUACGUAUCCAAUAAAACCAUAACACCCUUACUGUAUUGAUCUCACGAUGGUGCUUCUCUACUUGCACAUUCGUCACUGCUUGGGGGGAAUGCACCUCUACGCUGGAGGAUGUCUAUGUCAUCUACCAGUAAGCAUUUUUUUUCCCUGCGCGUGAGUCACGCCUUUGGUGAGAUAAUCGCGCAAAAUAUUGUAAGUGUUGAAGUCUUGAUUCCAGUGUCUGAACACUUCGCGGGGCUUGAUGUUUUGCAAGCCUCGCAAACGAAAGUCCUAGGAGAGGGAACCUCUAGGGGAACAAACCCUAGAAGGGCGAGCCUUAGAGGAGCUCUCCUGGGAUAUUUUCUUUUCUUUAUAAUCAAGAAGUCAUUGAGAACCAAGAAGUCCGUGAAGGCCUGAAAGCCUCGAAGGCCUGAUAGCCUCGAAGACAUGCUGAUAGCCUUGAAGACCUACUGAUAGCCUCGAAGGCCUGAUAGCAUCUAAGACCGGAAGAUAGCCUCGAAGACCUGUUGAUAGCCUUGAAGACCUACUGAUAGCCUCGAAGGCUUGAUAGCAUCGAUAUCGAAGACCUGAUAGCCUUGAAGACUUGAUAGCAUCGAAGACCGGAAGAUAGCCUCGAAGACCUGCUGAUAGCCUCGAAGGCCUGAUAGCCACGAAGACCAAGCUUUAAGUAUUCCUCUCUCUUCAAUUCGACAGGUCAUGGCCUUUAGAUCAUGAACUUUCGUAGGUUUUUUUUUUCAUUUCCUGUAUCAGAAAAUCAUGUACAUAUAUUUUAUACAAACUAACACUUGAAUCUAUACUUUUCUUUUUUUUUUAUAAAUCAGAAGAAAUAAUCAAGUAUAAGUGAAAGUUUGACAAAUUUAUUGAUAAUCAAAUUGUUUUUAACAAAAAGCAUAACGUUUCAUAUAAUAAAUCUUGCUUUUGUCGAAGAAAGCAUAACGUUCGCCACUUUUAGAGAUAAAGUGUAACUUUUUUUUUUUCGGGGUUGAGGGCUUAUACUCAGGUGCCUCAAUUACUUUUAUUAAAGUUGAAAGUAUAACUUUUUGGGUCUGAAGACUUAUAGUCAGGUGCUUCAUUCACUUUUGAUGAUAAAGUGUAAUACUCGGGUGCCUCGUCACUUGGGUCGUCCAAUUUUUUUGGCAAGUGCAGUCUACGAGGACUUGAAAUCAAGUGUCUCGUCACCUGGGUCAUCCAAUUUCUUGGCAAGUGCAGUCUACGAGGACUUGAAAUCGGGUGCCUCGUCACUUGGGUCGUCCAAUUUUUUGGCAAGUGCAAUCUACGAGGACUUGACCACCAUUUAAAGUGGACCACCAUCUUGGGUGGGUUAUUUUUUAAUUUUUUUUUUGUUCGUCAAUUCUUGUGCCUCCUCCCUUGGUCAUCCAAUUUACUUGGCAAGGGAUAUUCCUGAGGGCUUAAACCACCAUUUUUGGUGGACCACCAUCUUGGGUGGAUUUUUAACUCAUCUGUAGUUCAGAGUUUUUUUCAAUGGUACGUAGAGCCAGUAUUUGAGUUCUUGACUUCCGGGACUGCACCGUGGGUGAUAGUGUUGCACGUUUCUUCUCCUAGUUCAAUCUCGGCCGCCAGUUUCUCAUGGUAUAUCCUCCGCAGACUGUAACCGUCCAUAGUGGAAUGCCCUGCGUAUUGAUGGUAUACACAGAAGUCUGGUCUUCUUUUCAUUUCUUCCGUUACAACCAACCGAGGCCUUGGAGGUUUCACCACUCCGUGCUCGACCCAUUGUUCGUACAGACUCCUGAACGCCUUCUCGCUGCAUGUGAUAGCCUUCAGAACUGGCAUUCUGGUAUACUUGUCCCCAUACUUUUCUCUACUUCAUUCAAAUUUCUCAUUCUUCUCCCUCUUUCCCCCCUUGUGGUUUUGACUGAGAAUCCACCAAAGCCACAGUUGAUGUCAUCUUGCUCUUCCAUGUAUCCAUCGCAUGGCUGGUGGGAAAUGUCAUGAUUCCCCCCAAGUCUUGUGCAAAAGAUGAGAGGGUCGCAAAUGAAUCACACGCCUUGGUAAUGAGGUGGGGCUUGAAGGCGUCUAAAGCACCAUUGUUGCAUAUGCUAACCAAGUUCUUUUCUUCAAUUGGUUCUACACACUUAUGUGCUUGGGCCCUGAACCUAUCCACGUAAUCUGACAGCUCCUCGUUUGGCUUCUGCUUGAAUCGCAUGAGCUCUACGAUGGUUACCUGUUGCACAUAGAAAAAUUUCUUAAAAAUUUGCAAUUUUAGAUCAUCCCAAUCAUGGACUGAUCCCUUCUCCAUGUUGUAGUACCAACUUGGAAUGGUUGGCAUUUGCACUUGUGAAAAUGCUGGAAGAGCGGUUGGGAUGAUGUGUGUCUGAGAUUGGCUUGCUUCUAACCUGGGUUGUGGCACGUCGCUACUGUUCUGGGGCUCAAAGUUGAUGAUUGGAACCAACCAAUUAUUGAAGACGCUUCAGAAGAGAGUUCAACAUCACCAUACAUGGCCAAUCAACAACAAACCAACACAGGAAGGCAAGGCGAUGAAAAUGCUGGAAGAGCGGUUGGGAUGAUGUGUGUCUGAGGUUGGCUUGCUUCUAACCUGGGUUGUGGCACGUCGCUACUGUUCUGGGGCUCCAAGUUGAUGAUUGGAACCGACUAAUUCUCCGUCGAUGGAGGUACAAUCUGGUUCUCUUUGUUGUUGCUGCCAUUGUUGUUGUCUUCCACUCCUACUUGUUCCCCCUGCGAACUACCUGGGAACAUGGCCUUGAAGGUGGGAAUCUGCAUCAACUGCUGGCAGAAAUUCCCCAUUUCCUCUUGUUUUCUUUGCAUUUCCAGCAUCAUGACCAUCAUCCUCCCUUGGCCUUCUCGUGCUUCCUUCAAUGCCUUGAGCAUCUCCAGUUGCACAACAUUCGUCUGCUCUCCGCUUGCAUCAUCGCCUUGCCUUCCUGUGUUGGUUUGUUGUUGAUUGGCCAUGUAUGGUGAUGUUGAACUCUCUUCUGAAGCAUCUUCAAUAAUUGGUUGGUCAAAAUCCAGAUUUGCGCCUUGGAAAGCUUGAGUUGCUUGCCUUGGAACUGGAUCCGGUGAGGUAAUAUUAUUUGUUGGUGAAGUAGCUCUUCCUGUAGUUCUCCCACUUCGAGUUGUGGGCAUACCCUUCACGAAUUCUACAUCUCCCUAGCAGAGUCGCCAAAUAAAUGUGGGCAAGGAAAUCGUACCUUGCUAAGAUUAGGGUUUCGUGUUGGCUGAGGAGGAGAGAAAUCCACGAAUAGCACGGAAUUGGUUGAUUGAUUGAAGAGGGGAGAACCACAGGUGAGCGAUUACUCCAAUGACGCGUGGCAGAACUCCUAGAAUCCGGAAACAGUGUUAGGGUUAUUGGGAUUCCAAGAACCUUCUUUAAGUCCUUCGAGUUGAGAGAAUGUCCAAACCCUUUUUAGUGCUUUUAGGUGGAAUAUCCAAGCCUUAAGUCACCAAAAGAGUUCAAGUCCUGCGUCUGAAGAGAGGUCUCUUCCUUCAUAGAAUGGAAGGGGUAUUUAUAGAGCUUCCUGGAAUUUAAGUAAUCACAUGUCAGGCACAUGUUUUUAGGGAAAUUCCAGAAAUACCCUUUAGUCAUUAGAAUAAUGCCCAUAUCGCCCUGUCCUUCUAGCCGCCAAUCCAAUCCCUCAAUCAAUUCCCAAAACGAGCCGCCUCCCACGAGCCUUCUGCCUUGGGACACGUGGAGGCUUCUCUCGGGUUGUGUACAUUUAUUUCCGUCUUUUCCGUCUUCAUUCAAUUAGGCCUUGCGAACCCUAAUUUGCGUUUUUAAUAAGGUCGUGGAACCCUAAUUUGCACUUGGGCCCACACUUUCUUUGCAACUAUUCCAAGUUUUGGAGCUGCAACUAAAAGGAUGAAGAGUGCAUUUCACUUCACUAAGCCACAACUACAAUCAAAGACAAUUGAAGCUCAUAUUAAGAAAUCUCCCGAAAAAGUUGUGGACGAAAGACAUCGCAAAGGUUCUAGCCAAACAACUUUGGAGAAUCGUCUAAGGUCACCGGAAAAGAAAGAGAAAGUUCACAUGCACAUUGUGAAUUAGUUCUAUGAGCAUGACAUCCCUUUUAAUGCAACAAAUUCAAGAAGUUUUGAGGUGAUGAUAGAGGCUAUCGGGCAAAAUGGGCCGGGUUUGAAGCCUCGUAUCACGAGUUGAGGGUUUCUUUUUUAAGGAAGGCAAAGACUAAAACAGAGGAACUGAAGAAGAAGUACUUAUUUUAGAUGAAUGGACAAACAGAAGAGACAAAUACUUGAUAAAUUUUCUUGUUAAUAGUCCGGACUUAUUUUAUGGGAUCAAUUGAUGCUUCUAGUUAAUCUCAGGAUGCAAGUAUGUUGACAGAGUUACUUGAUGGGAAGAUCAAAGAGAUUGGGGCUAAGCAUGUUGUGCAAGUAUUGACAGACAAUGCCUCAAAUUAUAAGGCAGUGGGUCAUAUUUUAAUGAAGAGGAGGCCUACUUUGUUCUGGACACCGUGUGUAGCCCAUUGCCUAGACCUUAUGCUAGAGGACAUGCAAUUUGAAGCAAUUUAAGUGUACAAUCAAGGGGGCAAGAAAAAUAACAACAUUCAUUUAUAAACACGGUCGCCUUCUUGAUGCGAUGAGAAGCAAAACAGAUGGGAGGGACCUUGUGAGAUCGAGAGUCACCCAAUUUGCUAUAUACCCUUCAAAGCUUGUGCAAGCACAGGUAUGCUUUGAGACAUUUAUUCGUCAGUGAUGAUUGGACACGAGGUUGUCAACUACAGUUAUUUUUGCUAGUAUUUGACAUGUCGUUGAAGAUUGUAUUAGAGCAUCACAACCAUUACUUGUUGUCUUGAGGAUUGUGGAUUCAGAUGAGAGGCCAACUAUGCCUGAAGUUUUUUGCUACGAUGGAAUUUGCAAAGAAGAAAAUCAAAGAUGUCUUUAACAACAAAUAAAGGCUAUACAAGAAAGUGAUAAAUUAUCGAGCGAAGAUGGGCAUGCCAAAUGGAGCAAAACUUAUAUGGGGCAGCAUUAUUUCUCAAUCCGGUAAAGUAUUUUGACAUCAUAGAAGAAGAAUCUGAUUUAGCUUACAGGCUACGUAACAACUUCAAUGAUAUUCUUUCAAACAUGGUUCCCGAUCAAGAUUUGGCGAAAAGAUAAGAAGCAACCUAGCCGAUGUUUAUGAAUCUUCUCGUGAUACUUUUCUAAAGACAUGUCGAUUAGGCAAUGAAAGUAAAAAAAAUCAUAGUAAAUAUAUUAAAUUAAUCUCCGUCUCGUAUUAAACGUCCUAAUUUCUUUUUUAAGAUGUUCCUAAAUAAAUGUCUUAUUUCUAUAUUAGUAACUAUUUUUAUCUUAUUUUUUCACUUAUACACUCGUAAUCUUUUUAGUCAACUUUUGUUGGAAACUUACGAAAUGAUAAAAAGUUUACAUUGGAAAAUGAUGUAUUGUAUACCACUUUCUCUAUCAUAUACUUAUUGGAAUGUGAGAAUAACAAUAAAAAUGAUAGAGUAGCUAGAAAUUAAUACCAACAAAUGUAGACAGUUUGCAUGUAUGGACAUAUGAAUGUAAUUAGUGGGUAAGUUUGGAGAGUUAUACUUAUUGGAAUGUGAGAUAAUAAUAAAAUGAUUUAGAGAAUUCAUGUGGGAACUAACAAGGAAUAAUUAAUGUUGGGGUCAUAGAAAAAUGAAUGGAUAAUUCAAUUAUUAAGUAAUUUAGAAUGGACAAUUUAGAUAAAAAAAUAUAUUAUUAAUUAGCGUACCGAAAUCAGUUAGGACGUUUAAUAUGGGACGGAGGGAGUACUAUAGUUGAUUUGAUUUUUUAUUUUUUUACAUCUAAUGUAGUUGAUUGGUGGAAUGCUUUGGUAGUUGUGCUAUUGAGCUUGCAAAGUUUGCAAAGUGAAUCCUCGACCUUUGUUGUUCUUCUGGUUGUGAACGCAAUUGGAGCACUUUUAAAUUUGUAAGUAUUUAGUAAUUAAGUAUCUUAUAUUUAAUAUUAAUUAGUACAUAACUAAUAUCUAUAAAUAUUUUAUAUAUUCUUUUUUGUAAUAUUUUUAAACAAAAAUUUCAAAUUCAUAUGAAGAAGAGAAAUAGGUUGGGGUAUCAACGGUUAAAUGAUUUGGUGUAUGUGCAAUACAAUCGACGAAUUGUUUCAAGGUUCCAAAAGAGGCGCGAACUUGAAAGAAACUUUGAUCCAUUAGCCCUAUAUGAUUUCGAUUAGGAUAAUGAGUGGAUAGUGCCCGAGCAAUAUAUAGUUUAUCAUGGAGAUGAUCUUAAAUGGGAGGAUGUUGAUAGAGCUGUUGGUGCAUCCAAUGCGGACGAGGGUCGCAAUCUUUGUAGAACGGGUCAUUUCCACUCACGGUGUGGUGGUAUUUUGACUUCAAAGGAACCGAGGAUAAGAUUUGUGGAUGACUCUUAUUCUGAUACUUGAGAAGAGGAGGAAGACCUUUCUAAUGAUGAUGAGGAAGUGGAUGAUGAUUAUGGCCGAAGCGUAACUACUAUUUCAAGUGAUGAUACCACUGUUGGGAGAGAUGACGAUGAUUUGACCCAUGAUGAUUAUGCUUGAUAGCUUGAGUGAUCGUUUCAUUUUGAAAAAUGAGACUUUUGAGUUGAUGAAUAUUGAGUUUUUAUGACUUUGUUUUUAUUUCUAUAUUAUGUUUGUUUGUGGCAAUGUCACAAUGAGCAUAUCUUUAUCUUUGUCUAAUGGUAUUAUAUGACUAUAUGCUUGUUUAUAUAUUUAUCUUAACAAUGAUUGUUUACUUGUUUUAUCAUAAAUUAUUGAAUUCUUAGUAUUGAAAUUUAUGGUAUUUUAUAUAUACAAUAUUAAAACUUAAGAAACUAAAAUAUAAAUUUAAGAAUUAUAUUGAAUUAAACUAAAUAUUACAAAUGUAUCACCAUUUUUAUAAUUUGAAGUUGGUAUAAGUUCAAAAAAUUAUUACUAUAAUAAAACUAUCCAUUUGACUUGAUCUUAUUCACUUCUUGUUGUAAUUUGAUAUGCUACAAUCUGCAUUAUGAAUAUGGUAAAUCAUUAGAAAAAUAAAUAUAUCAAUAUUCAUAUAAAUAUUAAAUAUAUAAUUUUAUUCGUAUAAAAUUUACGUUGUUAACGACUUGUUGACGACUAGUCGGACGCCUUGUCGCGCUUAAGCUUCCGGUUGUCGUCUCGCCUCAACUUGUCGCCUUGAUAACUAUGGUAAUUGAUGAUAAUAGGCGAUAAAUACUGAUAGGCUUAGCGCUCAUGAAGUUUUUAGUUCAAGAUCCAAUUGGCAAGGUGAAGCCUUAUCGUACAAAAUUUUGAAACGAAUAUAUUAAUGAAUAAUUGAAUAUAUUUUGUCUUGCAAAGAUAGAGAUGAAAAAUCCUAGAGUAAAUUGGGAUUUAGACAUUUAGUACUUAAUUUUCUGUAACUUGGCAAGGGUAGCUGCUCCUAAUUUUUUUCUAAUGCUACAUAUGAUUGUGUAACUUGAUCCUGCAUUUGAGCUGUUAUUUAGAAAUUUUAUGUGUGUUAUUGGAUGUGAUGGAUCAUGGGGAUAGCUGAAUGAAACAAGUAAUUACAAGUCUGGGCAACUUUCUCUAGCUAGUAAUUACACCAUUUAUGGAAGAGGUAAUGCGCUAGCCUGAGGUUUGAUUUUGAUUACCUCUAAAAUUCUCUUUAGACUAUUUUAUCUUCAUAUAUUGUGACUUUCUUUUCUGUAUGAAAUUCAUUACACUAGACUAGACCAACCUUAUCAUCGUUCAUAAUGAAAACAAGAAAUAGAAGGUAAAGUCUUAAUGAUCACGUAACAGAAUAUAGACUGCUUCAUCUUACCGAAUCAAGCUGUAUUUGUUAGUGGUACAUAUACUAAUCAACCUGAUUAUAUCUGGCACAGAUCUCUCUGAAAUGUUAUUAUUUAUGUGCAUUCCUGGAUGUUACCCAUGACAUCUUCAAUAAAAUGCCCAAGUAAAAUGUGAGAUGACCCGCCCUCCAUCACGGCCAUUCUGCUCAUCUCUUUCACCUGCUUCUUCAUUUCAGUCUCCCCAUCCAUCAGACAUCUUAUACCUUUCUCUAUCUUGUCUGCAAUCACAACCAAAGUUUCAAUUGCAGAAAGAAAAUAUUUUCUAUAAUCCAUUUUGAUCUCCACAGCCAUUCCCAACUCCUUCACCAACUCAAAUGCAUUGAGUUGCUGCUCUGCAUUUAUAGGCCAAGUAGCCAUUGGAACCCCACACCAUAUACUCUCUAAUGUAGAAUUCUAUCCACAAUGAGACACGAAUCCUCCAACCGCAGGGUGGGAUAGAACCACCACUUGCGGCACCCACCCGAUCACUUUCCCAAUCCCUGUAGUCCGUUUUAGGAAUCCUUCCGGCAACAUUUCAUUGUGAUUCUCAUACUCCUUUGGGCAUUCCCAAUAUUUCUGCCGGCUGAGGGGGGUGACAUAAUGACCACAAGAAUUGCUGUGCACUACGCUCCAAUCCAUAUGCUAUCUCCAUAACUUGUUCUUCAUCAAAACUUCCCAAACUCCCAAAGCACAAAAACACUACUGACAAUGGCGGCUGAUUGUCCAACCAGCUAAUGAUACCAUCUUCAGAAUUGUGGUUUUGUAAUGUUCCCUCCUUGCUCUCAAGGUUGAUUAUGGGUCCCACAUGGUAGACGGAGGAUCUUUUAUAUAUGUGAAAAAACCUUUAAAUGCAUAUUAUCAUUCUUUUAUAUUUGUGCAAAAAAACCUAUAAAUAUAGCACACUACAUACAGUUAUGUACUAAUUGCAAUGUUUGUCUUUUUUAAAAUCUAAAUAUAUACGUUUAAUUAUUUAUUUAAAAAAUGGUCAAUUUGACCACAAAAGUCAAUGGACGACUUUUAUCUUGGGCUGGAUAUAGGAUUAUAUAAUCAUAGAGUUAUUCAAACAUAUAUUAUUAUUAUUUUUUUACUUUUACAUGUUAAAAGUUAAUUUAUGAAUAUUUUUAUAUAUAGUUGAUAUAUAUUAAAUAAUAAUAUUAUCUUAAUUUUAAUUGAACGUAUAUUCUUAAAUUACUUGUUAAUAUUUCUUGUGGUAUUUUGACAUUGGCGUCCGACGAUUGAUAAGAAGACUCCUGCUGAGCAAUUGUAGCAACUCUGGGUGAAUGUUAUUGUAAUGCAUUAUGUAAAAUAUUAAACUAAUUUAAUAAAAAUUAAGUUGAAAUAUUUUUAAUUUUUGUAUGAUGCAAGUCGGUGCGAUGUAGUUCAAAAUAAACUGCCCAAUGUAAUUUUGGUAUAGAAAAAUCUUGAUCCGCUACUAAAUGCGAUUAUAAUUAGAUACAACCAUGAAAUUCGAAAAAUAAACAGACUAAAAUUUCUGCAGCUAUCAUCAAUAAUUUAAAAAUAAAUAAAAAUUAAUGCAACAAAUAAUUAAACAUAAAAUUAACAAUUACCAAGUCAACUCAAUUGUAAUUCUUAAACAUAAAAUUAACAAUUACCAAGUCAACUCAAUUGUAAUUCUUAAACAUAUUACUGCUAUCGAGUUAACUUAGUCGGAUAAUAUGAUUAUAUGAAUCACAACCAAGUUAACUCAAGUCGGUAUUAAAACCUUAAAUAUAGAUAUUGAUUUUGUGGUACUUCUUCCCUCGCUUCUUUUUUUGGAGCUACAGGCUUAAAAAUCAGUUCAUGGCGAAACCAAAAUAUGUUAUUGGCACUUGGCAGCAGUGAAUCGGUACUUCAUCUCUCCUCUUAUAUUUUUUAUCAAUUGUUACCUCUUUCUUUGAUCAAUUUGUUUCUUAUUGUUUACCUAAGUUAUUCUUUAUGUCAUUAAUUUGUUUGUUAGUAAUUGUUUACCUUGCUCUUUCUUUCUAUGAUUCAAUAUGGCUGCUGCUUAAUUUGUCUGAAAACAAGCUUAUUGGUUUUGUGCCCUAACCAAUUUAAGCCCUUUUUAUUCUGCUUAACUAGUGUGUUCAUUAUGAUUGAUAUUUGUUUCUUGUUUCCUUCAGUUUUUCCCCCUGCAUCCAUAUAUUCUUGCAGUGAGUUCCCCCCCAAUAUAACUGGUUCAUAGUAUUAAAAGCUUUUACUUUAUUAAUUUACCCUGCUACUCCGGUAGGAAGUGUGUUUAUGCUUGUACAAGUGUCAAGAAUUUUGUAAAUAUGUUUCCAAAUUAUGGACAAUGCUGAAAAAAGUAUUACCUGCAAAAAAGUUAUGAAUUGGUGUACUUUUUAAAGCCUUGUAUACUUUGCUUAUACAUGCUAAUUCAUGUACAUAUUGGUUCCUUUAUUUCUAUCACAGUAUUACCUGCAAGAACAUAAAGCAAAAUCGAAAAAAAUUUACUCUGCGGAAAAUACAAGUCAAGUUACAUUUGUUAUUGAUAUUAAGGUACUUUUUUAACAACGGAGGAAGUUCUCCCACAAAAUUAGACUCGGUUAUGUUCAACCACAUGGGCAUCCCUUUAAGAACACUUUCCUUUUGUUCUCCAAUUUGAAGUAGUAAAAAAAACAUUUGUCCACAUGAUUAAUGAGAUACUUAUCAAAACUCCCCCUACACUAACUUACUCGACGAUCACUUAAUUGCACGAACAUAUACUCACAAGGUUAAAUUAAAUUACCCCAUACUUGGCCAAAUUUAUCAUCUUUCAUAAAGUGGCAAGUGAUGUUUUGGUUACUGUAUUAGUGGUCGACGUCUAGUUUGUAAUAUUUUUUUUGAGUACAAUAAUGUCUUUGUAACAUUAAGAGAUUCAGUAAUCAUAAUGAAAAUCGACCCCUAGUACAAUAACUAAAACAUCAAUUAACGAAAACAAGAAAUACAAGGCAAAGUCUUGAUGAUCAUGUAACAGAAUAUAGACUGCUUAUUUUACAUGAAUCUGUAUUUGUUAUCGCUAUACUAACCGACCUGAUUAUAUUUUGCUCAGAUCUCCUAAAUGGUUUCAUUUAUGCGCUUUCCUGGAUGUUACCCAUGACAUCUUCAAUAAAAUGCCUGAGUGAAAUGUGAGAUGACCCGCCGUCCACCAUGGCCAUUCUACUCUUCUCUUUCAUCUCUUUCACCUUCUUCCUCAUUUCACUCGCUGCAUUCAUCAGACAUUUUAUACCUUUCUCUAUCUCGUCUGCAGUCACAACCAACGGUUCAGUUGCAAUAGAAGAAUCUUUUCUAUAAUCCAUUUUGAUCUCCACAGCCAUUCCCAACUCCUUCACCAACUCAAAUGCAUCGAGUUGCUGCUCUGCAUGUAUAGGCCAAGUAGCCAUUGGAACCCCACACCAUAUACUCUCUAAUGUAGAAUUCCAUCCACAGUGAGACACGAAUCCUCCAACCGCAGGGUGGGAUAGAACCACCACUUGUGGCGCCCACCCGAUCACUUUCCCAAUCCCUGUAGUCCGUUUUAUGAAUCCUUCUGGCAACACUUCAUUGUGAUUCUCAUACUCUUUGGGCAAUCCAAAUAAUUCCGUCGGCUGAGGCGGGGGACGUAAUGACCACAAGAAUCGCUGUCCACUACGCUCCAAUCCAUAUGCUAUCUCCUUAACUUGUUCUUCAUCAAAGCUUCCCAAACUCCCAAAGCACAAAAACACUACCGACAAUGGCGGCUGAUUGUCCAACCAGCUAAUGAUACCAUCUUCAGAAUUGUGGUUUUGUGGUGUUCCCUCCUUGCUCUUGAGGUUGAUUAUGGGUCCCACAUGGUAGACAGGGGGGAUCUUGCCAUUAUCAGCAAGGCACUUAAUUGCAUGCGGUUCCAGCUCUGAGAACGUGUUGACUAGAAUGGCCUUGGUUUCUUUAAACCUUCGGGAAAUAGAUUGAAUCAUGGUCGAUCCUUCCUUGAUCAGCAUCACAGAAGGUAAAACCUUAGCAGGCACUGGAUUAACAAAACACGGGACAGAUAACUCGACAUCCGAGUCCUUAUACUGAAUAACAUCUUGUUUGUGUUCAUCAUCGAGGCUCAGAUGGUAGAACUGGAGGCCAAGAUAAGCAGCACCAGAAGUAAAGAACACAUAGCUUGGAACCCUAAAUUCAUUAGCCACGUCUAUCAUAGGGGUACAAAACAUGUCAAUGACGAACCCAGCGAGCUUAUUAGACUCAGACCGGCUAACAAUUCCUUUGACAGCAUCUCUCACCUGAGUCUUCUGACUCUCGAUGAAGGCCCGAAANNNNNNNNNNNNNNNNNNNNNNNNNNNNNNNNNNNNNNNNNNNNNNNNNNNNNNNNNNNNNNNNNNNNNNNNNNNNNNNNNNNNNNNNNNNNNNNNNNNNGAAAUCUUGGAUUUUUGGAAAGUUUCUAAAUGCAGAUUUUGGUAGACUUCUACAUGGAAUUGGAUUGAUAUUUCUAUUAGCUUUAGGAUUUCCUUUAGACUAAGAUUUAUUUCCAAAUUGAAUUCUAUUUCUUUAUGGAAACUAGUUAUGAUUUGUAAAUCCUUUUAGGAUUUGGAUUUCUACAUCCUAUAGGAUUUAGGACUUUGUCUAGCACUAUAAAUAGAGGAUGAGGGUCAAGGUUUUAUUCAUUCAAUAUUCAACAUUCAAGUAUCCUCUAUUGGAGUGAAGGCUCAAGAGCAUGUCAGGCUAGUUCUUUUUAUUCAGUUCUAAAGGGAGGUGAAUCCUUGUUACAAGUAAUUAAUUAAUUGAGUAUUAUUAUUUAUUCCUUCUUGUGUGAAAUUUCUUCUGAUAAUCUGUUUUCAUUGAUUGCAUGCUAAUUGAUCUAAUUAAUUUAAUAUGGCCAAUUGAGUUAAUUUGAUCAUUAUCAUAUGCUAGAUUAAGAUUGGUAUUACGUGUAAUUGAUAUCUCUCUUCAUCACAAGUAGCAACUUGGUAAUAAUAAUUGUGGACAAACUUUUGUUUAUUGCUAAGAUUAUUAGAAAACAAGUUAAAUAAAUCGAGCUUAUGUGUUUGUUGCUUGGAUUAGCCUAAUUUUCUAUUUCUUAAUGCUUCUAUCAUAUUAAAUCUAGAGAGCUUAUUCUAGGUUAUAUGCUAGUUAGAAUCUGGUGGAGAGCUUGUUUCAUACAGUGAUAAUCUAAGGAGAAUUUCGGAUAGCAGAGCUUAUUGUUAUCUAGGGCUAAUAAUUUCAUUGAAGGAAAAAUAAUAAUUACUUGAUUAAUUGAUUGUUGUACUUGGUGAAACUGAACUGCAGAACUGAAGUUUUACAUAUUUGGUUAAUUUUAUCGUUAAUUCUUGUUCUCUUAGUUUAAAAAUAAUUUUCAAAACCCCCAUCUUUAUUUUCUGUUAAAAUAGUAGAAUAAUUCUAAAACAACUUUACUCUCUGUGGGAUCGAUCCUUACUUGCUAUUGUGCUAAUUAUUGUAAAUUGUGGAGUGAAAGUGAGGUUAAUUUAGGAGUGUCAACGACAGCUCCCAGUGUUGUUCCCUCCUUGAUCUUGAGGUUGAUUACAGGUCCCACAUGGUAGACAGGGGGGAUCUUGCCAUUAUCAGCAAGGCACUUAAUCGCAUGCGGUUCCAGCUCUGAGAAAGUUUGACUAGAAUGGCCUUGGUUUCUUUAAACCUUCGGGAAAUAGAUUGAAUCAUGGUCGAUCCUUCCUUGAUCAGCAUCACAGAAGGCAAAACCUUAGCAGGCACUGGAUUGACAAAGCACGGGACAGAUAACUCGACAUCCGAGUCCAUAUACUGAAUAACAUCUUGUUUGUGUUCAUCAUGGAGGCUCAGAUGGAAGAACUGGAGGCCAAGAUAAGCAGCACCAGAAGUAAAGAACACAUAGCUUGGAACCCCAAAUUCAUUAGCCACGUCUAUCAUAGGGGUACAAAACAUGUCAAUGACGAACCCAGCGAGCUUAUUAGACUCAGACCGGCUAACAAUUCCUUUGACAGCAUCUCUCACCUGAGUCUUCUGACUCUCGAUGAUGGCCCGAAAGAUAGACAAUCGGUCCGCAGUCUUGAUAGUCUUGAUCAUUGAGAUAGCGGACUCGUCCGGAGG